ACUGGGCUGGCUCAGCUUGUAGAGCAUGUGACUCAUGAUCUCGGGGUUGUGGGCUCAAGUCCCACGUUAGGUG
Molecule: transfer RNA, 73 nt
Filed under: Canis lupus familiaris (dog)
Lineage: Eukaryota; Metazoa; Chordata; Mammalia; Carnivora; Canidae
Also listed under: 1 other name
Rfam family: tRNA
About the family: Transfer RNA (tRNA) molecules are approximately 80 nucleotides in length. Their secondary structure includes four short double-helical elements and three loops (D, anti-codon, and T loops).
Source: Rfam by way of RNAcentral